Oreochromis niloticus (Nile tilapia) is the source of this 826-nucleotide long non-coding RNA. RefSeq lists it as uncharacterized. The transcript is spliced from 4 exons. The record is from RefSeq and is a predicted model, not a curated record. Lineage: Eukaryota; Metazoa; Chordata; Actinopteri; Cichliformes; Cichlidae.
GCAACUUAGUAACUAAGUUACUAAUUUAAAGUAACUUACCCAACACUGCUUAAUACUGAACUAAGAUACUUUCAGUGUGAAUCAUUUGCAGGAACACAGGCAGGAUUUAAAGUGCAGAACUUUACAGUCUCUGUCUCAAAGUUGGUCUAAACAUGCUAACAGCUCUUUGUUUUUUUCAGUUUUCACUGGUUUGAUGUAAUAAAAGAAAUUUUAAAGAAGCAGACAAGUUUUGCUAUUUUAGUUCUAUAAUUUCAUAAAUCGUGGUGUGGAUAUAAGUCAACAUUCAAAAUAAAUAAGAUAAUACAGCACUUUCUAUGUUUGCCUUUUUAUUUUCCCAGCAGUACUCAGGUUGGUUCUCGGCUACAUUUACAUAACAGAUGUCAAUGUCUUCAGCAGCUGGACACUCAUCUGAGGAAGGAACAUUGGAAAGGUGCUCAGUGCACAACUGCAUCACUAAUUUUAUAAUCAUCAGCUGUUUUAUGAACCUUCUCUGUAUGUUUGACUCAUCAACACCUGUGAGCUGUGAUGGAGUCAGAGGAGCUUCAUCACUGAUGUUCAGAGGGGAGCUGAUUCUAGCUGCAGCUGGACUCUGUCAUCUAACUGAAUGUGUUGGUGCUGAUCACGGGGCUCUGAGGGGGGAGCAGCAGGAGGACUCUGGAUACUGACUGAACGGAGGACGUGCCAGUGGCCCUGGGACCUCAGGUGGUGGGUCUGCUGUGGAGCUCUGGAUGGGAAGCACGUCCAGACAAAGGCACCCCAUAUAUCAUAUAGGAGACACACACAUUGAUAUAUACUAAAUAUUUAUUUCAUUUCUUUUUUUGUGGUA